Molecule: long non-coding RNA, 2128 nt
Filed under: Salmo salar (Atlantic salmon)
Lineage: Eukaryota; Metazoa; Chordata; Actinopteri; Salmoniformes; Salmonidae
Description: lncRNA (ENSSSAG00000115253.1)
Source: RNAcentral
GGUGGGUCCCUUCAGUAGUACCGUAACGGUGGGUCCCUUCAGUAGUACCGUAACGGUGGGUCCCUUCAGUAGUACCGUAACAGUGGGUCCCUUCAGUGGUACCGUAACGGUGGGUCCGUCCCUUCAGUAGUACCGUAACGGUGGGUCCGUCCCUUCAAUAGGCUGUAGCCUAAGUAUCGAACCUAACAUGCAAAUCAGCUUUAAUAUCAACCUUUGCACUUUUGAUUUACUUUGGCCCUUGUUUUUCCAAAUCGUUUUUUUUGAAGAAUGUUCAAUUGAUAUUUUGUUUCUGUAGACUGAGGUUCAUGGACACGAAUUGUCCUUCAUUUGGAUUGUAGGUAGAGUACAUGUAAAGAAUGCCACUACUGCUUACUCCUUUAGUUACUGCAAGGACGUACGUAGCCUAGCCGUCACUGUGAAAACAAAACCUGUGUGUUUGGUUCAUUGACAUAUAUGGUUUGGUCACUGUGAACAACCCAUCAUUCAGGUGUGCAGGCCAGCUGUACCAUAUGGCUGCUAUUAGAUAAGGCAUUAUGUUAUGAACUGAAGCACAUAGCAGUGGUCUGAGUCUUUUGGUCAAGAGAAACCUGUUCCUAUAAUAUAUAUUGUAUGUAUUGGCACAUGUUGUUGGCGAUCCAUGUCACAUGGUGUGUGUGUGUAUAUGAGCUGUUUUUCCAUGUCAAUCAGAUCCUAUUGUUGUCUUGUUAAAAAGAAAUGACUCUUACAUGCAUCCAUUUGUUUUGCUGAGAUGUGUUGGUGAUUUGUGUUUGAUGACGAGUUUCAUAAGUAAUGACAGAUUUACAAACGGCUGUUCUAAUUCUAAAAUCAAGUUACAAGGGAUCUUUUUCUUUACUUCAUAAAUCCUGCGUAUCGCUUUAAAUAGCUUUAGCAUUAUAGAACAUGAUUUAUUUGUAUUUAUUUGGAUUGUCUAUGAAAUGAAAAUGUAAAUCUUUUUUGUAUUUUAAUUUAAAGUAAAAGAAACUAAAUUAUUCAAAAGGAAGGUUAAUCAAAGGGCACGGUUUGUCUCUUCCAAGGUGCUGUAGUUUCAAGGUGACAUGUCCAAGGGCAGCCACAAGGGGGCAGUGUUGACCAGAGCCUGGCUCUACUGAACUACUACUGAGGGACUGUCCUAAACCUCUUCUCUGUAGCUCAUCAUCCACUCACUGUGCAACAUUCGCUACUAUAUAUUUCAUAUUUAUCCAUAGAAAAAGGAUUUUAGAAAAUAUUUCAAAGAAGUUAUUUCAUAACUAUUAUAUAUCAAAUAUAUAUUCGUUCUUGUUUUGUCAUCUAGCUGGGCUAGAAUUGUGCAUUUAUUUACAUUGGAAUCAUGGUAGUUAGUAGUUGGGUGGAUAAGUGUACAUGUAAAAAAUGAACCAAAAUAAUGAUCUUAUUUUUCUUUGUGUCUUAAGGCUUUAAAUACUGUAAUUAUGGUAUGGCAUAAGAUUCUAAAUAGUAUGACAUUUUAAAAAAUAUCACUCAACUGCAUGUAUGCAAUGCAGUGGGCUGUCUUGAAGUGGAAACUUUAUAGAGGGAAAAGGACAUUGUACUAAUGAGCAGUGUUUCAAAAGAAGAAUUGAUGUAUUUUGUUUGUCUGGAAAAUAAGGUAAAAGCUUUUGUGUGUAAGUCUUGUAUUGGAUUGUUUUGUGUGAGAACGAGUUGAAUCAACUCACAUAUCAUUAAAUCAGAAUUUAAGGGAGGGUGUCAUAGGAGGUUGGUGGGAAGCUUAAUUGUAGAGGACGGGCUCCUGGUAACGGCUGGAGCGGAAUCAGUGGAAUUGUAUCAAACACAUGGUUUCCAGGUGUUUGAUGCCGUUCCAUUUGUACCGUUCCAGAGAUUGAGCCGUUCUCCCCUCAGCAGCCUCCACUGGCGUGUUUAGUUUUUAUAAAUCAAUACUGUUUGUAUUGUUUGUAAUUGCAGAUUUUGCUUGUCUUGUGAAUUGUUAAAUCUCUGUGAAGAAAUGUUUAUUAAAAAAAAAAAUGUAAGGGCUUUAAGGUUUUCAAAUCCUUUAUAUAGAAAAUAUAAUACUGUUAAUGUUUGUCACACAUGUUCAAUAAAGUUUCUAAGUUCACAAUUUCUUGUGGUGAGGAUGUCUUGGUAUUGCAGGGAGGGCUAAAUCUGACUGUUACAU